RNAcentral lists this ribosomal RNA (443 nucleotides) under uncultured bacterium. RNAcentral describes it as "partial 16S ribosomal RNA". It matches the Rfam family "Bacterial small subunit ribosomal RNA", at positions 338 to 795 of the family's 1533-position model. The record is from RNAcentral.
CCUACGGGUGGCAGCAGUGGGGAAUAUUGGGCAAUGGGCGCAAGCCUGACCCAGCAACGCCGCGUGAAGGAAGAAGGCUUUCGGGUUGUAAACUUCUUUUGUCAGGGACGAAGCAAGUGACGGUACCUGACGAAUAAGCCACGGCUAACUACGUGCCAGCAGCCGCGGUAAUACGUAGGUGGCAAGCGUUAUCCGGAUUUAUUGGGUGUAAAGGGCGUGUAGGCGGGAAUGCAAGUCAGAUGUGAAAACUAUGGGCUCAACCCAUAGCCUGCAUUUGAAACUGUAUUUCUUGAGUGCUGGAGAGGCAAUCGGAAUUCCGUGUGUAGCGGUGAAAUGCGUAGAUAUACGGAGGAACACCAGUGGCGAAGGCGGAUUGCUGGACAUUAACUGACGCUGAGGCACGAAGGCCAGGGGAGCGAAAGGGAUUAGAUACCCCUGUAGUC